Long non-coding RNA from Brienomyrus brachyistius, 1735 nucleotides. RefSeq lists it as uncharacterized. The transcript has 4 exons. The record is from RefSeq and is a predicted model, not a curated record. Lineage: Eukaryota; Metazoa; Chordata; Actinopteri; Osteoglossiformes; Mormyridae.
AAUAGCUGUAUUCUUGAAAUAUUUGCACAUUUUCAACAGAUUUAUUAUCAAAAAUAUUUUCGUUUUGGGUGUUAAUGAAAAAUGAUUUUAGAUUUUGAGUGAAGAAAUUAUUCUUUUGACUGUUUUGAUUGCCUGCGAUAAAACAUUUUCAUUGGAAAUGACUCAGGAAAAAAACUGCUUUAGAGAGGAGGACAUAAAUGAACGCCACUGUGUUUUGUUUUAGAAUAGAAUAGAAUAAACCUUUAUUAUCCCACGAAUGAGAAAUUUAGGUGUUACAGAGCUCUUGCACAAAAACGUAAUAUAGAACAAUAGGAGCAGGUAGAUACACAAAGAUAUAAAUACAAAUGUACAAAAGUUUUGGAAAUAAAUAAAGAUGUACAGAGAUAUGUACAAAAUGUACAGAGAUAUGUACACAAGUGCGGGGGUGGGGUGGGGUGUGAAUGAUCCUGGUUACAGCAUGUGAUAUGUCAGUUAAACAUAUAUGAGUAAAAAAUACUCACGCUAAACUGUUAUAAUGUCUGACAGCCGCUGGUAAGAAUGACCUGCGGUAGCGCUCCUUCCUACACUGUGGGUGUAGAAGUCUAUUGCUGAAUGAGCUGCUCAGAGCUCGUACAGUCUCAUGCAGGGGGUGGGAGGUGUUGUCCAUAAUGGAUGUUAGCUUAGACCGCAUCCUCUCAUCCCCAACCUGCUCGAUGGAUUUCAGUGGGCAGCCCAGGACAGAGCCGGAUCCCCUCCACUCGCCUUGCUCCGUCCGGUGAUGAUAUUAAGUCCCUUCCACACCCCUCUUGUGUUGCUCUGCUGGAGCUGCUCCUCCAGCUUCCUCUUGUAUCUGUUCUUUCUUUAGUGUGAUAUCUCAUUUCUUUGUUUAAUCUAUAAGCUUGGUUUGCUCUGAAUGUCUUGGGUGACGAUUGUUAUGAUCGCUGAACGCAGGAUAAACAACUGUUACUCGUCUGUAAGUGAAAGUGAAAGGAAAGCCAGAGUCGCCAUUUUAGCAAGAAACACGAAUAAGAUUCUGGAAAAAUAUCAAGAUAUUUUGUAUUACAAGAGGCGCCAGCAGGAAUCAUCUGCUCUGGAUCCCCACCAAAAUGGAGGAACCUGCUUCUGAAAUGACCCCCCCUGUGGGGUGUAAAUCAAAGGAGCCUGAGAGGGAAAUUUAGGGGUUGGUGGCAGGAUUGGCCCUCACACUGGUGUGUUCAGGCUAGUGUGGUGCUGAGGUAUCACCCGCUGCACUCAGGCUCUCAUCCCUGAGGCGGUUUGUACUGUGGUGGGUGCAGUGACACACUGUAAUCAGCAUGUAAUCGCCUCCACUGCAAUAUUCCUCUUGUAAACCACCUUGGUUGUAGUUUCCUAGAUUUAGUUUUGCUGGAAACAGGUAUGAAGUCCUCUUGCAAUAAUGUACUUUUUAAAACUUCUCAUGCCUCUUCAACAGUUAUUUAACAUCCAGUUUACAGUUUCUACUUUCAGUCUCAUACCAUUAAAGUUGGCCUUCCUAACACUGUAUACUUUUGUUUUGGCCUUUACUCUUUGGACAACAUGAAAACAUGAUUUACAGGAACCUUUCAUACAGGAAUCUUAAUGUUAGGUCAGACAGUUUAUUUCACAUGAAAUCUAACAGUAAACAAGCCUGUUUGCAUGAAGAGCUUCACGGCAGGUUAAGCAGAAGUCUGAAGGUUUAAUGUGAUUUUGCAUUAUAUGAAUUAUAUUUAUAUAAUGAGGAUUUGCUUCCUCUCAUUGU